UACGGAGGGUGCGAGCGUUGUCCGGAAUCAUUGGGUUUAAAGGGUCCGUAGGCGGUUUGGUAAGUCAGUGGUGAAAGCCCUUCGCUCAACGGAGGAACGGCCAUUGAUACUGCCAGACUUGAAUUACUGGGAAGUAACUAGAAUAUGUAGUGUAGCGGUGAAAUGCUUAGAUAUUACAUGGAAUACCAAUUGCGAAGGCAGGUUACUACCGGUGGAUUGACGCUGAUGGACGAAAGCGUGGGGAGCGAACAGG
RNAcentral lists this ribosomal RNA (253 nucleotides) under uncultured bacterium. RNAcentral describes it as "partial 16S ribosomal RNA". It matches the Rfam family "Bacterial small subunit ribosomal RNA", at positions 524 to 776 of the family's 1533-position model. The record is from RNAcentral.